CCACUGUCCAGUUCAGAGAAGCUGUCUCUUAUAGAAGGACAACCCUUGAGUCAGAAUGACAACACAAGGUACAUGAGUUUGGUAGGUGCACUUCAAUAUCUGACCCUUACAAGACCUGAUAUCUCAUUUGCUGUCAAUAAGGUAUGCCAGUUUCUUCAUGCACCUAUCACAGUUCACUGGACUGCUGCAAAGCGUAUAGUUAGAUAUGUCAAAAACACUCUGAGUAUUGGUCUGAAUUUCAGCAAGUCCUCAUCCACACUCUUGAGUGCCUUUUCAGAUUCUGACUGGGCAGGUUGCCUGGAUGACAGACGGUCCACUGGUGGCUUUGCAGUAUUUUUUGGUCCUAAUCUAAUUUCAUGGUGUGCCAGAAAACAGGCUACUGUCUCUCGCUCUAGUACAGAGGCAGAAUAUAAAGCAUUGACAAAUACUACAGCUGAGAUUAUAUGGGUACAAUCAUUGCUGAAAGAACUUGGUGUAAAAAGUACUAAAACUCCAUGUUUAUGGUGUGAUAACCUGGGUGCCACAUAUUUGUCUGCU
This 537-nucleotide ribosomal RNA is filed under the name Triticum aestivum (bread wheat). RNAcentral describes it as "partial small subunit ribosomal RNA". Lineage: Eukaryota; Viridiplantae; Streptophyta; Magnoliopsida; Poales; Poaceae. The record is from RNAcentral.